Molecule: long non-coding RNA, 466 nt
Organism: Mya arenaria
Lineage: Eukaryota; Metazoa; Mollusca; Bivalvia; Myida; Myidae
Exons: 4
Source: RefSeq, a predicted model, not a curated record
AGUUGAAGCAGUAGUGGAACAACAUCCAUCGUCAAUUGAAGCUCUUGGUGGAGGAAUUGGCGGAGGAGUAGUAGCUCUUGCUGUCAUUGUGGUUGUUGGACUUUGUUUGCUUCGGAGAAGAAGAAGAAAACUAUCCAAAAAAGAAACCGAGAACCUUUCCGCCCUGUACGCAACAGUGAAAAAAGGAAGAGCUGCGCGAGCAGGGAACGCUAAUGCGGAUACUGACAAUUUUCACUCUGUCAUCAUCAUAGAAAACCCCGAUUACGAAAGUCUACUUACGGGUAGUUCUGAUAGGAAAAAUACACCUUAUUUGACAGAAGACAAUCUUGAACUUGACGAAGAUGAUAUUUUCGCAAAUGAAACUGCAAAACUAUUUGUUGAAAGAUGUGGUGUUUAUUAUAACAACGCUAGAGAAGUUAGCAAACUGAAUGUUUCCGAUCUUCCAGAACAUGUACAAAAUAUUUCU